This 491-nucleotide ribosomal RNA is filed under the name uncultured bacterium. Its description in RNAcentral is "partial 16S ribosomal RNA". It matches the Rfam family "Bacterial small subunit ribosomal RNA", at positions 29 to 507 of the family's 1533-position model. The record is from RNAcentral.
AGUGAACGCUGGCGGUAGGCCUAACACAUGCAAGUCGAACGGCAGCACAGUAAGAGCUUGCUCUUACGGGUGGCGAGUGGCGGACGGGUGAGGAAUACAUCGGAAUCUACUUUUUCGUGGGGGAUAACGUAGGGAAACUUACGCUAAUACCGCAUACGACCUACGGGUGAAAGCAGGGGAUCUUCGGACCUUGCGCGAUUGAAUGAGCCGAUGUCGGAUUAGCUAGUUGGCGGGGUAAAGGCCCACCAAGGCGACGAUCCGUAGCUGGUCUGAGAGGAUGACAGGCCACACUGAAACUGAGCCACGGCCCAGAUCCCAAGGGAAGGCAGAAGGGGGGAAUAUUGGACAAUGGGCGCAACCCUGAUCCACCCAUACGGGGGGGUGGAAGAAGCCUUCCGGUUGUAAAAGCCUUUUUUUGGGGAAAAAAAGGCAGCGGGUUAAAACCCGGCUGUUCGACGGGAACCCAAAGAAAAGCACCGGCUAACUUCGUG